This 450-nucleotide ribosomal RNA is filed under the name uncultured bacterium. Its description in RNAcentral is "partial 16S ribosomal RNA". It matches the Rfam family "Bacterial small subunit ribosomal RNA", at positions 338 to 795 of the family's 1533-position model. The record is from RNAcentral.
CCUACGGGGGGCUGCAGUAAGGAAUAUUGGUCAAUGGACGCAAGUCUGAACCAGCCAUGCCGCGUGGAGGAUGAAGGUCCUCUGGAUUGUAAACUUCUUUUAUUUGGGAAGAAACUCCCGAUUUCCAUCGGGAUUGACGGUACCAGAUGAAUAAGCACCGGCUAACUCCGUGCCAGCAGCCGCGGUAAUACGGAGGGUGCAAGCGUUACCCGGAUUCACUGGGUCUUAAGGGGUCGGAGGUGGGCAGGGUGAACUCUCCGUGCUUAACCCGGACACUGCCAGUUGUACUAUUUGUCUUGAAUACUCUGGAGGUGAGCGGAAUAUGUCAUGUAGCGGUGAAAUGCUUAGAUAUGACAUAGAACACCCAUUGCGAAGGCAGCUCACUACGGAAAUAUUGACGCUGAGGCACGAAAGCGUGGGGAUCAAACAGGAUUAGAUACCCCGGUAGUC